AGAUGUUGUUCCUCAAGAUUUUGUUCAGGAAACUGUGAAGGUAGAGCCAGAUCCAGAUGAUGCUAUGCAUGUUGAUUUAGCAAUUGUGACAUCAGGGUCUCUGGAUUCUAGGUUGUUGGCAGAACAGCAUACCAUUGGCUACUCUGAGCCUGAUCCUAAUGAUGUUGGCAAGCAAAGUUCUGUUGGUUGCCUAGAACCUGAUCCUGAUGACUCCUCAAAUGUUGAUAUUCUGAACCUGGAGCUGAGGUUUGAUGGAAGACAGCAUAGCGAACCUGAUCCUGAUGAUGGUACAAAUGAAUUUGUUCUGGAAUAUGGAAACAAGAUGGAAGUGGAUAGUGAACUGACAAACAACAUCACAGUUUUGAAGUCUGAACCUGACCCUGAUGAUUCCUCAAACGCCAUGUUGGUCAUUGAUGGGAAGCAGGGUGGAGAACCUGAUCCUGAUGAUACUACUUGUCUAGUUUCAAAAUCUGGAGAUGAGACGGAAGUUAUAACAGCUCAGCGUAGAAGCUCCGCAGUUUUGAAGUCAGAACCUGAUCCUAACAAUUGUAUUGGUGAUUUAAAAAGCAAUGAGCUGCAAAUGAUUGAAGAACCAGUGGCAGCGCUCUGCGCUCGACUCCAGAAGUCCAUUGAAAUGCUCCGAUUGCAAGCAACACCUGCAGAGGCAGACUCCGCUAUUCAAACACUCUUUAAGAUUAUCAAGAAUGUGAUAGAGCACCCAAAUGAUAUUAAGUAUAAGAGAUUGCGUAAGGUAUAGUUGUCUGUUCUCAUUUCUCAUUUUUCUUGCAAACUGUCAUGUAUCGUUCAUAUAUUCCUGCAAAUUUUUGAUGAAUUUUCCUCGUUUGCCACAUUUGCAGUCCAAUCCACAUUUCCAAAGGAGUGUAGCGAACUAUAAAGGUAUUACUGUUAGAUCCACCAGUUGUCACUGCUUUCUAGAGUCUUGAAUUGUAUUGCAUACUGAUUGUUUAAUCUCUUUUUACUCCAAAACCAGCUGCCAUGGAGGUUCUUGAAUUGAUCGGCUUCUGCGAGGAUGUUGUCUCAGAUGAGAUUGGGCGUGCAGAGACUUACCUGGUAUUGAAAAGGAACGAUCCUGGAUUGCUAUGGUUGGCAAAGUCCUCUCUUGAAGUCACUCUGGCUU
Molecule: long non-coding RNA, 1138 nt
Filed under: Setaria italica (foxtail millet)
Lineage: Eukaryota; Viridiplantae; Streptophyta; Magnoliopsida; Poales; Poaceae
Description: long non-coding RNA (SITA_LNC004791)
Source: RNAcentral